Molecule: ribosomal RNA, 1338 nt
Filed under: uncultured bacterium
Lineage: Bacteria
Description: bacterial SSU rRNA
Rfam family: Bacterial small subunit ribosomal RNA
Source: RNAcentral
GACGAACGCUGGCGGCGCGCCUAACACAUGCAAGUCGAACGAGCGAGAGAGAGCUUGCUUUCUCGAGCGAGUGGCGAACGGGUGAGUAACGCGUGAGGAACCUGCCUCAAAGAGGGGGACAACAGUUGGAAACGACUGCUAAUACCGCAUAAGCCCACGGUGCCGCAUGGCACAGAGGGAAAAGGAGCAAUCCGCUUUGAGAUGGCCUCGCGUCCGAUUAGCUAGUUGGUGAGGUAACGGCCCACCAAGGCGACGAUCGGUAGCCGGACUGAGAGGUUGAACGGCCACAUUGGGACUGAGACACGGCCCAGACUCCUACGGGAGGCAGCAGUGGGGAAUAUUGCACAAUGGGGGAAACCCUGAUGCAGCGACGCCGCGUGGAGGAAGAAGGUCUUCGGAUUGUAAACUCCUGUUGUUGGGGAAGAUAAUGACGGUACCCAACAAGGAAGUGACGGCUAACUGCGUGCCAGCAGCCGCGGUAAAACGUAGGUCACAAGCGUUGUCCGGAAUUACUGGGUGUAGAGGGAGCGCAGGCGGGAAGACAAGUUGGAAGUGAAAUCUAUGGGCUCAACCCAUAAACUGCUUUCAAAACUGUUUUUCUUGAGUAGUGCAGAGGUAGGCGGAAUUCCCGGUGUAGCGGUGGAAUGCGUAGAUAUCGGGAGGAACACCAGUGGCGAAGGCGGCCUACUGGGCACCAACUGACGCUGAGGCUCGAAAGUGUGGGUAGCAAACAGGAUUAGAUACCCUGGUAGUCCACACCGUAAACGAUGAUUACUAGGUGUUGGAGGAUUGACCCCUUCAGUGCCGCAGUUAACACAAUAAGUAAUCCACCUGGGGAGUACGACCGCAAGGUUGAAACUCAAAGGAAUUGACGGGGGCCCGCACAAGCAGUGGAGUAUGUGGUUUAAUUCGACGCAACGCGAAGAACCUUACCAAGUCUUGACAUCCCUUGACAGGCAUAGAAAUAUGUUUUCUCUUCGGAGCAAGGAGACAGGUGGUGCAUGGUUGUCGUCAGCUCGUGUCGUGAGAUGUUGGGUUAAGUCCCGCAACGAGCGCAACCCUUAUGGUCAGUUACUACGCAAGAGGACUCUGGCCAGACUGCCGUUGACAAAACGGAGGAAGGUGGGGAUGACGUCAAAUCAUCAUGCCCUUUAUGACUUGGGCUACACACGUACUACAAUGGCGUUAAACAAAGAGAAGCAAGACCGCGAAGUGGAGCAAAACUCAGAAACAACGUCCCAGUUCGGACUGCAGGCUGCAACUCGCCUGCACGAAGUCGGAAUUGCUAGUAAUCGUGGAUCAGCAUGCCACGGUGAAUACGUUCCCGGGCCUUGCACA